Molecule: long non-coding RNA, 735 nt
Organism: Sarcophilus harrisii (Tasmanian devil)
Lineage: Eukaryota; Metazoa; Chordata; Mammalia; Dasyuromorphia; Dasyuridae
Exons: 2
Source: RefSeq, a predicted model, not a curated record
CGGAGCGCAGCGUAGACACGUUUCCACUGGCGCAGGCCACCACCCACUUUCUGCAGAAGAUACACAGAGAGGAGGGGAAAGAGAAGAGUUUUUGUCUAUCUUCUUCUUGAAGGGACCCGAUACCUUCAUUUUCAGAGCCCCCCUUUCAAAUUCAUAGGAUCAUGGGCUUAGAAAUUUAGAAGAGAACUCAGAAAUUAUCAAGUCCAAUCUGUACUUUUUAAUGGCUGAGGAAGCCGAAGUUCAGAGAGGGAAAGUGAGUAACUUGUGCAAAAUCACACAAACAAAUAGCAGAGGUCACCUGACUCCAGACCAAGCCAAUACUCUCCACUGUACCACCUGCCUCUCCAAUUCAGCAGGUUCUAAUCUACAGUAGUGGAUUCCAUAAAGGAACGGAACUGAUAUUUUUUAUCAUCUUAGACUUCCCAAAGGGAAAAACUCUAAGAGUUCUUUCCCCUAAGGGAUUAGCAAAAGGGGGACUGACUACAAGGGUUGGAAAAUAUCCCCUUCCUGACCUCAAGAGGCAUGUCCUCAUUUUGUUUAAUAUCAUAACAUGAUUUGCUCCAAUUCAGCAGAUUAUAUGUGGAGAAUAGAAAUCAGAGGGGUUCUCUGUGCAAUCACAAAAUAUUCUGAGUUAUCCUUUGGAAACUUAAUUUCCUUAUACACCCAAUCUGUGGAAAGGAGAAGAUCUGCAUUUGAUGUACAAAACGGGACUCAACAGGAAGGACAGCAUGAAAA